AGAGUUUGAUCCUGGCUCAGAGCGAACGCUGGCGGCAGGCCUAACACAUGCAAGUCGAACGGACCCUUCGGGGUUAGUGGCGGACGGGUGAGUAACACGUGGGAACGUGCCUUUAGGUUCGGAAUAGCUCCUGGAAACGGGUGGUAAUGCCGAAUGUGCCCUUCGGGGGAAAGAUUUAUCGCCUUUAGAGCGGCCCGCGUCUGAUUAGCUAGUUGGUGGGGUAAUGGCCCACCAAGGCUACGAUCAGUAGCUGGUCUGAGAGGAUGACCAGCCACAUUGGGACUGAGACACGGCCCAAACUCCUACGGGAGGCAGCAGUGGGGAAUCUUGCGCAAUGGGCGAAAGCCUGACGCAGCCAUGCCGCGUGUAUGAUGAAGGUCUUAGGAUUGUAAAAUACUUUCACCGGUGAAGAUAAUGACUGUAGCCGGAGAAGAAGCCCCGGCUAACUUCGUGCCAGCAGCCGCGGUAAUACGAAGGGGGCUAGCGUUGCUCGGAUUUACUGGGCGUAAAGGGAGCGUAGGCGGACAUUUAAGUCAGAGGUGA
RNAcentral lists this ribosomal RNA (543 nucleotides) under uncultured bacterium. Its description in RNAcentral is "bacterial SSU rRNA". It matches the Rfam family "Bacterial small subunit ribosomal RNA", at positions 8 to 597 of the family's 1533-position model. The record is from RNAcentral. RNAcentral also lists the same sequence under 1 other name.